AUGGCCGACGCGGAUCAAAGUGUGGUAUCUGUUCUCAUCAGCUCAAUAUCUGAUAAGGGUUAUAUUUGUACCCAGGAUAUUAAACUUAUUUUUGCAAGUUGGCGGAGUGUUUGAAGCCUGUUUCACCUCCGCCGGGGAUCGACCCGGUAUUGCACUAUCUUCGGGAUUUUUGGUGUAUGGACA
Dermacentor silvarum is the source of this 183-nucleotide small nuclear RNA. RefSeq annotates it as U2 spliceosomal RNA. The record is from RefSeq and is a predicted model, not a curated record. NCBI's taxonomy places the organism in Eukaryota, Metazoa, Arthropoda, Arachnida, Ixodida, Ixodidae. The transcript has a single exon.